CGGGACACGUGGUAUCCUGUCUGAAUAUGGGGGGACCAUCCUCCAAGGCUAAAUACUCCUGACUGACCGAUAGUGAACCAGUACCGUGAGGGAAAGGCGAAAAGAACCCCGGCGAGGGGAGUGAAAAAGAACCUGAAACCGUGUACGUACAAGCAGUGGGAGCACGCUUAGGCGUGUGACUGCGUACCUUUUGUAUAAUGGGUCAGCGACUUAUAUUCUGUAGCAAGGUUAACCGAAUAGGGGAGCCGAAGGGAAACCGAGUCUUAACUGGGCGUUAAGUUGCAGGGUAUAGACCCGAAACCCGGUGAUCUAGCCAUGGGCAGGUUGAAGGUUGGGUAACACUAACUGGAGGACCGAACCGACUAAUGUUGAAAAAUUAGCGGAUGACUUGUGGCUGGGGGUGAAAGGCCAAUCAAACCGGGAGAUAGCUGGUUCUCCCCGAAAGCUAUUUAGGUAGCGCCUCGUGAAUUCAUCUCCGGGGGUAGAGCACUGUUUCGGCAAGGGGGUCAUCCCGACUUACCAACCCGAUGCAAACUGCGAAUACCGGAGAAUGUUAUCACGGGAGACACACGGCGGGUGCUAACGUCCGUCGUGAAGAGGGAAACAACCCAGACCGCCAGCUAAGGUCCCAAAGUCAUGGUUAAGUGGGAAACGAUGUGGGAAGGCCCAGACAGCCAGGAUGUUGGCUUAGAAGCAGCCAUCAUUUAAAGAAAGCGUAAUAGCUCACUGGUCGAGUCGGCCUGCGCGGAAGAUGUAACGGGGCUAAACCAUGCACCGAAGCUGCGGCAGCGACACUGUGUGUUGUUGGGUAGGGGAGCGUUCUGUAAGCCUGCGAAGGUGUGCUGUGAGGCAUGCUGGAGGUAUCAGAAGUGCGAAUGCUGACAUAAGUAACGAUAAAGCGGGUGAAAAGCCCGCUCGCCGGAAGACCAAGGGUUCCUGUCCAACGUUAAUCGGGGCAGGGUGAGUCGACCCCUAAGGCGAGGCCGAAAGGCGUAGUCGAUGGGAAACAGGUUAAUAUUCCUGUACUUGGUGUUACUGCGAAGGGGGGACGGAGAAGGCUAUGUUGGCCGGGCGACGGUUGUCCCGGUUUAAGCGUGUAGGCUGGUUUUCCAGGCAAAUCCGGAAAAUCAAGGCUGAGGCGUGAUGACGAGGCACUACGGUGCUGAAGCAACAAAUGCCCUGCUUCCAGGAAAAGCCUCUAAGCAUCAGGUAACAUCAAAUCGUACCCCAAACCGACACAGGUGGUCAGGUAGAGAAUACCAAGGCGCUUGAGAGAACUCGGGUGAAGGAACUAGGCAAAAUGGUGCCGUAACUUCGGGAGAAGGCACGCUGAUAUGUAGGUGAAGUCCCUCGCGGAUGGAGCUGAAAUCAGUCGAAGAUACCAGCUGGCUGCAACUGUUUAUUAAAAACACAGCACUGUGCAAACACGAAAGUGGACGUAUACGGUGUGACGCCUGCCCGGUGCCGGAAGGUUAAUUGAUGGGGUCAGCGCAAGCGAAGCUCUUGAUCGAAGCCCCGGUAAACGGCGGCCGUAACUAUAACGGUCCUAAGGUAGCGAAAUUCCUUGUCGGGUAAGUUCCGACCUGCACGAAUGGCGUAAUGAUGGCCAGGCUGUCUCCACCCGAGACUCAGUGAAAUUGAACUCGCUGUGAAGAUGCAGUGUACCCGCGGCAAGACGGAAAGACCCCGUGAACCUUUACUAUAGCUUGACACUGAACAUUGAGCCUUGAUGUGUAGGAUAGGUGGGAGGCUUUGAAGUGUGGACGCCAGUCUGCAUGGAGCCGACCUUGAAAUACCACCCUUUAAUGUUUGAUGUUCUAACGUUGACCCGUGAUCCGGGUUGCGGACAGUGUCUGGUGGGUAGUUUGACUGGGGCGGUCUCCUCCUAAAGAGUAACGGAGGAGCACGAAGGUUGGCUAAUCCUGGUCGGACAUCAGGAGGUUAGUGCAAUGGCAUAAGCCAGCUUGACUGCGAGCGUGACGGCGCGAGCAGGUGCGAAAGCAGGUCAUAGUGAUCCGGUGGUUCUGAAUGGAAGGGCCAUCGCUCAACGGAUAAAAGGUACUCCGGGGAUAACAGGCUGAUACCGCCCAAGAGUUCAUAUCGACGGCGGUGUUUGGCACCUCGAUGUCGGCUCAUCACAUCCUGGGGCUGAAGUAGGUCCCAAGGGUAUGGCUGUUCGCCAUUUAAAGUGGUACGCGAGCUGGGUUUAGAACGUCGUGAGACAGUUCGGUCCCUAUCUGCCGUGGGCGCUGGAGAACUGAGGGGGGCUGCUCCUAGUACGAGAGGACCGGAGUGGACGCAUCACUGGUGUUCGGGUUGUCAUGCCAAUGGCACUGCCCGGUAGCUAAAUGCGGAAGAGAUAAGUGCUGAAAGCAUCUAAGCACGAAACUUGCCCCGAGAUGAGUUCUCCCUGACUCCUUGAGAGUCCUGAAGGAACGUUGAAGACGACGACGUUGAUAGGCCGGGUGUGUAAGCGCAGCGAUGCGUUGAGCUAACCGGUACUAAUGAACCGUGAGGCUUAACCUUACAACGCCGAAG
This 2538-nucleotide ribosomal RNA is filed under the name Escherichia coli. Its description in RNAcentral is "partial 23S ribosomal RNA". It matches the Rfam family "Bacterial large subunit ribosomal RNA", at positions 418 to 2925 of the family's 2925-position model. The record is from RNAcentral. Lineage: Bacteria; Pseudomonadati; Pseudomonadota; Gammaproteobacteria; Enterobacterales; Enterobacteriaceae.